Long non-coding RNA from Ornithodoros turicata, 576 nucleotides. RefSeq lists it as uncharacterized. The record is from RefSeq and is a predicted model, not a curated record. The transcript is spliced from 3 exons. NCBI's taxonomy places the organism in Eukaryota, Metazoa, Arthropoda, Arachnida, Ixodida, Argasidae.
UGCGUCGUGACCUGGGAAUAGCAUUAAGUUGUACGUAAGCGAAGUUCUGCGAAAUGAUCGACGAGAUAUUGGUUAUUUCGUCGAAUUUCUCUUACUUCACUGGGAGUUGUAUUGGAUUUUGCUCAAUGUCACUGCCGAAAAGGUCAACCCACGUCGUAUUUAAUCCCAGAGAGUCAAGCGAAAAGGCAGUUAAGAAGGUGACACCAUGAAGGUCUCUCUUAUUUUAUUUGUAGCCUUCAUUAUCAUGGCCUCCUGCAGCAGCUUCGCAAUAGGCUGCAGCUGUGACAAAGACGGAUGCGACCACCAUACUGUUAUCCAAGGGGGUAUCACGUGCAUUGGAGACGGCUGCACCGUAAAGAAGGAGGGGAGUCGCAGCUGCUGCACGAAAGGAUAAUGUGGACAAGGUCGUGGACGAAAGUUCUUCAACAGAAGAGUCAAUAGUGUUAAAGGAAACACAUUUCCAACUCCUCCUCAUAGAAUACAGACUCCUCCCCAUAGACGAAAAUCUCGCAUAUCCGAAAACAAGGAAUAUUAAACAUGGAUUGGUAUAUCCAGUUCCAUCAGAUAAUGUUUCAA